GCACCCCAGUUCUGCCAUGGCUACAUUCUGGCUCUGAUCCCAGCAAUGACAUGAUGAACGUCAGCCCAGCCAGUCCCCCCAACUGAAAAAGGACAUACAAUAAGCUAUUGCUUGUAUUUAAAUGGGUUCAUUUUGAUUGACCACCGGUCGGGAUGCAAGCGGACACAAUACCGACAACGGAAUCCCAAUAUGUGAAAUCCCAACAGGGGCAAGGUAUGGAAAUUACAGCCGGGCUCCCAGGAUGAGAUCACAGACUGAUUUACUGCUCAACUGUACUCCCGAAGUUAAGUAAAUAAACUUUACAGAAAGGAUGCUUACGUUGUUAAGGUUUGAUGUUCACAUAUUAAAUAACUGAUAUCUAAAUGAAUAUUAUUCCCACUGAGAACAAUUAUGUGAAAAUUUUUACAGUGAGACAUUAUCGUUUGACCUGGAGAGGGCACAUUGCCAUGUGGUAUUUGGACAAAAAUAAAUGUGCUUUAUUCUGGCAAUGGUUCUAAACGUUCAUGUGUCCUCCUUAUCUUUAUUUGGCAUAUAUCUGUUUAUCGUAAAUAGAUAUACACACAGCAGUGAAA
Long non-coding RNA from Pseudophryne corroboree (corroboree frog), 572 nucleotides. RefSeq lists it as uncharacterized. Lineage: Eukaryota; Metazoa; Chordata; Amphibia; Anura; Myobatrachidae. The transcript is spliced from 3 exons. The record is from RefSeq and is a predicted model, not a curated record.